UCUACCCAUGUCCAGGAUGAAGGUAAGGUAAUACUUACUGGAGGUCCGAACCCACGCACGUUGAAAAGUGCGGGGAUGAGGUGUGGGUAGCGGAGAAAUUCCAAUCGAACUUGGAGAUAGCUGGUUCUCUCCGAAAUAGCUUUAGGGCUAGCCUCGAGGUAAAGAGUCAUGGAGGUAGAGCACUGUUUGGACUAGGGGCCCUUCUCGGGUUACCGAAUUCAGAUAAACUCCGAAUGCCAUGUACUUAUACUCGGGAGUCAGACUGCGAGUGAUAAGAUCCGUAGUCGAAAGGGAAACAGCCCAGACCACCAGUUAAGGUCCCCAAAUAUAUGUUAAGUGGAAAAGGAUGUGGGGUUGCUUAGACAACCAGGAUGUUGGCUUAGAAGCAGCCACCAUUGAAAGAGUGCGUAAUAGCUCACUGGUCGAGUGACCCCGCGCCGAAAAUGUACCGGGGCUAAACAUAUUACCGAAACUGUGGAUGAACCUCUUUAGAGGUUCGUGGUAGGAGAGCGUUCUAAGGGCGGUGAAGUCAGACCGGAAGGACUGGUGGAGCGCUUAGAAGUGAGAAUGCCGGUAUGAGUAGCGAAAGAAGGGUGAGAAUCCCUUCCACCGAAUAUCUAAGGUUUCCUGAGGAAGGCUCGUCCGCUCAGGGUUAGUCGGGACCUAAGCCGAGGCCGAUAGGCGUAGGCGAUGGACAACAGGUAGAGAUUCCUGUACCAGUGCUAAUUGUUUAACCGAUGGGGUGACACAGAAGGAUAGGGAAUCGCACGAAUGGAAAUGUGCGUCCAAGCAGUGAGUGUGAGAAGUAGGCAAAUCCGCUUCUCGCGAAGCAUGAGCUGUGAUGGGGAAGGAAAUUAAGUACGGAAGUUCCUGAUUUCACGCUGUCAAGAAAAGCCUCUAGGAAGAGUAGUACUGCCCGUACCGCAAACCGACACAGGUAGAUGAGGAGAGAAUCCUAAGGUGAGCGAGAGAACUCUCGUUAAGGAACUCGGCAAAAUGACCCCGUAACUUCGGGAGAAGGGGUGCUCUAUUAGGGUGCAAGCCCGAGAGAGCCGCAGUGAAUAGGCCCAGGCGACUGUUUAGCAAAAACACAGGUCUCUGCAAAACCGUAAGGUGACGUAUAGGGGCUGACGCCUGCCCGGUGCUGGAAGGUUAAGAGGAGUGCUUAGCUUCGGCGAAGGUACGAAUUGAAGCCCCAGUAAACGGCGGCCGUAACUAUAACGGUCCUAAGGUAGCGAAAUUCCUUGUCGGGUAAGUUCCGACCCGCACGAAAGGCGCAACGAUCUGGGCACUGUCUCAACGAGAGACUCGGUGAAAUUAUAGUACCUGUGAAGAUGCAGGUUACCCGCGACAGGACGGAAAGACCCCGUGGAGCUUUACUGCAACCUGAUAUGGAAUGUUUGUACCGCUUGUACAGGAUAGGUAGGAGCCGAAGAGACGUGUGCGCUAGCAUACGAGGAGGCAAUGGUGGGAUACUACCCUGGCUGUAUGACCAUUCUAACCCGCCACGCUUAGCGCGUGGGGAGACAGUGUCAGGUGGGCAGUUUGACUGGGGCGGUCGCCUCCUAAAGAGUAACGGAGGCGCCCAAAGGUUCCCUCAGAAUGGAUGGAAAUCAUUCGCAGAGUGUAAAGGCACAAGGGAGCUUGACUGCGAGACUGACAAGUCGAGCAGGGACGAAAGUCGGGCUUAGUGAUCCGGUGGUUCCGCAUGGAAGGGCCAUCGCUCAACGGAUAAAAGCUACCCCGGGGAUAACAGGCUUAUCUCCCCCAAGAGUCCACAUCGACGGGGAGGUUUGGCACCUCGAUGUCGGCUCGUCGCAUCCUGGGGCUGUAGUCGGUCCCAAGGGUUGGGCUGUUCGCCCAUUAAAGCGGCACGCGAGCUGGGUUCAGAACGUCGUGAGACAGUUCGGUCCCUAUCCGUCGCGGGCGCAGGAAAUUUGAGAGGAGCUGUCCUUAGUACGAGAGGACCGGGAUGGACACACCGCUGGUGUACCAGUUGUUCCGCCAGGAGCAUCGCUGGGUAGCUAUGUGUGGCAGGGAUAAACGCUGAAAGCAUCUAAGCGUGAAGCCCCCCUCAAGAUGAGAUUUCCCAUUUCUUCGGAAAGUAAGAUCCCUGAAAGAUGAUCAGGUAGAUAGGUUUGGAGUGGAAGUGUAGCGAUACAUGGAGCGGACAAAUACUAAUCGAUCGAGGACUUAACCAAAA
Molecule: ribosomal RNA, 2203 nt
Filed under: Listeria monocytogenes
Lineage: Bacteria; Bacillati; Bacillota; Bacilli; Caryophanales; Listeriaceae
Description: partial 23S ribosomal RNA
Rfam family: Bacterial large subunit ribosomal RNA
Source: RNAcentral